This 23288-nucleotide long non-coding RNA is filed under the name Zostera marina. Its description in RNAcentral is "long non-coding RNA (ZMAR_LNC000095)". Lineage: Eukaryota; Viridiplantae; Streptophyta; Magnoliopsida; Alismatales; Zosteraceae. The record is from RNAcentral.
CACCAUAAUCUCAUGCUUUCUUCAAAACAAAAUAUCUCCCAAUAAGCUUUCUAAAAUAUAUCAUUGUAUCAAUGGCGGUGUCUAAGGUGUUGGGUACAACCUUUGUGGUCAUGCUCUUUCUAGGCAUGACCUCUGCAGGGAGGGUUUUGUCGAAUAAUGGAGGUGGUGGUGAAGGUGGUGGUGGUGGAGGUGGUGGUGGCAAAGGAAGUGGUUCUGGUUAUGGGUCGGGGAGUGGUUAUGGAUCUGGAAGUGGUUCUAAUUACGGUGGACGUGGAGGUGGAGGUGGAGGUGGUGGUGGACAUGGAGGUGGGAAUGGAUCGGGAUAUGGUUCUGGCAGUGGAUCUGGUUAUGGUUCAGGUAGCGGAAAUGGUGGUUAUGGCAGUGGAGGAGGUGGUGGAGGUGGUCAUGGAGGCGGUAGUGGCUCUGGACAUGAAUCUGGUUCUGGUUAUGGAUCAGGUUCUGGUUAUGGAAGUGGGGGACUUCCAUAAGUAUGAUCAUCAUCUAGUGGAUAUGUAAUAUAUGUAUACAUACAUAAGGCGACCAUAUAUAUCUGGUUGAUCGAAUAAUGUUUUAAACUCUCUAAUUUAUAAUACCAAUUACAAUAAUAAAUUUGAGAGGUUUAAAUCACAGGACACUUGAAUUUGGAUAUUGAAAAAUAUAUAACUUGAUAUGAAUUUUAAUAAAUAUUAGUUACUGAAUGAAUGAAUGAAUGAAUGAAUGAAUGAAAAUAAUUCAUUAAGAUAGAAUAAUUGUAAUACAAGAAUUUUGUUAUUCAUAAUUCUUCAAAUACGAUUAAUUCGAUUAUUUCUUACAGUGAUGUUGAUUGGGUUGCAGGAAACCCUGACGAUUAAUUCACUAUAGCCAUCAAUAUUUUCAUCCAUUCUUUUGUAUUCCACUUUAAUUGAGAGGUUUGUCUCAAAAUCAUUAUAAUAUGAUGAAAAGCUUUUGAGCUUCACAAAAAAGUUAGGUUUGAUUUUAUAGAAUUGUUGAAAAAACUUUUAAUUAAAUAAGUUCACAAAUACCUCUAGACUAGUGUAUUUCGUGAAUCAAAAUCACAAGAAUAAAGUAGAUCAACGAACUAAUAUAAAUUUCUAUGUGUUUUUCAUUUAACCAACUUAGAUUUCAGUCAACGCAAAAACGACAAGCUUUAUCUUUCAAUCUUUUUGUUAUUUAACUUGUGUUACUUUAUGUCCUAAAUCUAUUUAAUUAGUUCUCGAUCUGCUAUCAGAUUUUAAAAACACGAGAGCACGAGACCGGCAACAGAGCUUCGGUGCAUUACUGCAUUGGCCGACAAUGAAACUCUGAAGCACGAGACUGGGAAAGCGGUCAAUUUCUUCAAUGAGAGAGCCUAGAAGAUGUUUAACAUAAUAUUCUAUUUAAUGUCAUAUUCGCAAAUUUUCACCGACUAAAAUUGGAUAUUAGUGAGUCACUAUCAUUUAUUCAUAUCACAACUGUACUUUAUCAAAAAAAAAUUAAAUCAAAUUGACUUUUUUCAUUGACUGAGAUAUUUAUUGAUAAUUUAAAAAUUAAGAUGUCAUUUUUUGUUGUUAUUAAAAAUCAUUUAUCUCAUUUGAAAUAUCUCAUGAAAACGUUUUUUAUUUAUUAAUAUCACGAUUGUAGUGGCUUCAUAUAUGUAUGUAUGUAUGUAUGAUUUUAUAUAUAUCAAGUAGACGUUGAUCAUAUUUAUGGUCGUCCUCCACUUCCGUAACCAGAGCCUGAUCCAUAACCUGAACCAGAUCCAGAUCCAGACCCACCACCUCCUCCAUGGCCACCGCCACCACCUCCUCCAUUGCCGUAACCACCAUUUCCGCUACCUGAACCAUAACCAGAUCCACUGCCAGAGCCAUAUCCCGAUCCGUUCCCACCCCCUUGUCCACCACCACCUCCACCGCCAUGUCCACCACCUCCUCCUUGGCCACCACCGUAACCAGAACCGCUUCCAGAUCCAUAACCACUCCCUGAUCCAUGACCACUUCCAGAUCCUCCACCACCACCGUGUCCACCUCCUCCACCACCACCGUGUCCACCUCCACUCCUUUUACCACUUCAAUAACCUGAACCGGAUCCAUAGCCACUACCAGCUUGACCUCCACCGCCGCCUCCACUACCAUACCCACCUCCUUUCCCAUGUCCCGAACCAUAUCCUGAGUCAUAACCAGAACCACUUCCCUUUCCACUACCUCCUCCUCCACCACCGCCGCCACCUCCACCACCACCUUCAUUAUUCGACCAAACCCUGGUUGCAGAGGUCAUGCCUAGGAAGAGCAUGACAACCAAAGUAGCACCCAACACCUUAGACAUAGCCAUUGAUGGUUAUAUAUUUUAGAAAGCUAAAAGAGAGAUGUGUGUUGUUAUGAAGUGUGCAAGGGAUGAUGUUGGUAUUUAUACCAAUUUUCGACUCAUGAAAUAAUUAACAUCUGCCAACUAUUUCGGACUUACGAGUUUGAAGUCAGAAACUUGGCGCCAACUAGCCUAAUAAGUCAAAACACUUUGUUAAAUUAUGUGGAAUUCAUCGUAUUAAACGACAAAGAUGUUGAAAGGAUGUUCGAUUUCAAUCCAACCGACAGCCAACUAUUUGACUGAAUUGUAAUAUUCGAUUAAAAAAUGGUAGUUAGUAAGUCACAAGUCAUACCACCCGGAUAACUUUUUUUUUGUUUCAGUUUAUUGACUAAGUUUCAGUUUAUUUUUCAUUUUUUUUAAUCAUCUCUUAAUUAAUAAAUAUUCGAUGAUAUAUUACCCAAAUGUAGUUGUUUUUACUUUUACAAAGACACGGUCCGUUAAUUUUUUCACCCGAUCAAUAGUUUUUACCUGACUCUAGCCCGAUCACAUCCGAUGGACAUAUGUAACUAGUUAUAAACGUGAAAAUGCAACUAGUUAUAAAUUUGUACAUACAACUAGUUAUAAAUCUAAACAUUCAACUAUUUGUAAAUCUAAACAUUCAACUAGCUGAACAUUGAACUAGAUAUAUACUAAAAAUGCAACUAAUUAUAAAUCUAAACAUGCAAUUAUAUAAAAAUCUUGAACAUUCAACUAGUUAUAAACUUGAAAAUGUAACUAGUUAUAAAUUUGAACAUGUAUUCAACUAGCUGAACAUUGAAUUAGCUAUAAACCUGAACAUUAAUUUAGCUAUAAACCUAAACAUUGAAUUAGUUAUAAACCUAAACAUUGAACUAGUUAUAAACUUAAAAUGCAACUGAUUGUAAAUCUAAAACAUGCAACUAGUAGCUCGCGAGCAACCCGGGAGCUCCAAAAGUAGCUCGCGAGCCUACGAGAGCAACCCAAGGGAAGUUCUAUUAAAAUCAAGGUAUUUUCAAAACUAGUUCUAAAUCUGAACAUACAAUUAGUUGUAUAAACUUACAACUAUUGUAAUUAAAUGACUAAAUUAUAAUUAAAAUCAACUGAUCGUUUUUUUAAUUUUUAUAAUAUCUAAAAAUUAUCAAAAUAACCUGUAUUUAUUUUAAUUAAAAUAAAUAAAAAUAUUGUUUAAAUAAGAUAAUAAAUAAAUAAAAAACAACUAGAAAGUAUCGAAGUAAUUAAAUAAAACAAUAAGUUAAAUUAAAAUGAAAAUUUCUAAAUAUAUAUCUAAACCCUAAAAUGUUUAACAAUAAAAAGUAUCAUCACUAGUUCACUACCCAUGCCCACCCCUAGUAAGAUAAUAUAUAUAAAUUUUGUAUGACAGUGACUAGAUAAUCGAAUAUUACAGUUUAGUCAAAUUCUGGUGAGAAUUUAAGGAUUUGAAACACACUUGUUUUGAAAUCAUGUCAUUUAUUUUAACUUUUUCAAGAUAUUCAAAUCAAGUAUUUUAACUUGUUAGCCAAAUUUCAUACACAAAUAUAGAAAUAUCAUAUUUUAUUUAGUAAGAGGUAGUAAACUGUUUUUUCUUUUUCUAAUCAAACUCAAUUAAUGGAUUAAUGUUUCAUGAAUUGUUUGCUAUAAAUACCACCAUAAUCUCAUGCUUUCUUCAAAACAAAAUAUCUCCCAAUAAGCUUUCGAAAAUAUAUCAUUGUAUCAAUGGCGGUGUCUAAGGUUUUGGGUACAACCUUUGUGGUCAUGCUCUUUCUAGGCAUGACCUCUGCAGGGAGGGUUUUGUCGAAUAAUGGAGGUGGUGGUGAAGGUGGUGGUGGUGGAGGUGGUGGUGGCAAAGGAAGUGGUUCUGGUUAUGGGUCGGGGAGUGGUUAUGGAUCUGGAAGUGGUUCUAAUUACGGUGGACGUGGAGGUGGAGGUGGUGGUGGACAUGGAGGUGGGAAUGGAUCGGGAUAUGGUUCUGGCAGUGGAUCUGGUUAUGGUUCAGGUAGCGGAAAUGGUGGUUAUGGCAGUGGAGGAGGUGGUGGAGGUGGUCAUGAAGGCGGUAGUGGCUCUGGACAUGAAUCUGGUUCUGGAUCAGGUUCUGGUUAUGGAAAUGGGGGACAUCCAUAAGUAUGAUCAUCAUCUAGUGGAUAUGUAAUAUAUGUAUACAUACAUAAGGCGACCAUAUAUAUCUGGUUGAUCGAAUAAUGUUUUAAACUUAUUCACGGAUUUUGGCCACGGCCAAAAAAUUAGCCACGGCCAAUAAAAGAUUAGCCACGGAUUUUGGCCGUGGCAAAUUUUUUUAAAAAUUUUACCCGAUUACUAAUUAACAACAUUAGCCACGGAAAAUAGCCGUGGCUAAUCUUUUAUUGGCCGUGGCUAAAAAUUAGUAGCCACCAGACCUACAGCCACGGCCACUCCCGUGGCUAAUUCCCGUGGCUAAAUUGAUUUAGCCACGGAUUUUACCAUUUAGCCAGUGAACUUGGCCGUUUUGUUUCCUUGUUUUCUUGUAGUGAUAUCUGGUUGAUCGAAUAAUGUUUUAAACUCUCUAAUUUAUAAUACCAAUUACAAUAAUAGAUUUGAGAGGUUUAAAUCACAGUACACUUGAAUUUGGAUAUUGAAAAAUAUAUAACUUGAUAUGAAUUUUAAUAAAUAUUAGUUAGUGAAUGAAUGAAUGAAAAUAAUUCAUUAAGAUAGAAUAAAUGUAACACAAGAAUUUUGUUUUUCAUAAUUCUUCAAAUACGAUUAAUUAAAUUAUUUCUUACAGUGAUGUUGAUUGGGUUGCAGGAAACCAUGACGACUAAUUCACUAUAGUCAUCAAUAUUUUUCUCCAUUCUUUUGUAUUCCACUUUAAUUUAGAGGUUUGUCUUAAAAUCAUUAUAAUAUGAUGAAAAGCUUUUGAGCUUCACAAAAAAGUUAGGUUUGAUUUUAUAGAGUUGUUGAAAAAACUUUUAAUUAAAUAAGUUCACAAAUACCUCUAGACUAGUGUAUUUCGUGAAUCAAAAUCACAAGAAUAAAGUAGAUCAACGAACUAAUAUAAAUUUCUAUGUGUUUUUUAUUUCAUUUAAAGCUUAGUAUUUAACCAACUUAGAUUUCAGUCAACGCAAAAACGACAAGCUUUAUCUUUCAAUCUUUUUGUUAUUUAACUUGUGUUACUCUAUGUCCUAAAUCUAUUUAAUUAGUUCUCGAUCUGUUAUCAGAUGUUAAAAAGACUCAUAUGUUUUUAAUUACAAAUAAGUCAUCGAUCUAUUAUCAGAUGCUCAAGAGGUCUGUCUUUUAAAAUAUUAAAGUUUAAUACGAAUAAUUUUUUUUGUUUUUAUUACAGUUUACUCUUAGUCUGAUUCUGGUUAAUGCGCUCAUUUGGACCCUUUGGGAAGGCUCUAAAGAAAUUUGCGGUAUAAAACAAAAAGAGACCCUAUAAGCGACCAACUUUUUAAGUUGCUCAUACAUAGUCUGUUUUCUUAUAGUGUAGAACAUUAUACUUAAUUGAUGUUUCUUCUAGCUUUUUUUUUUUUGAUAACCGAUAUAUAAAGAGACUCAAACUUUAAUUAAAUCUCAGAUUCCGUAAUAGUUACUGUAACAUGUUGAGCUAAUCUUCUUAUGUUUAUAAUUUUUAAUCUUACACUAUUUUUACAAUCUAAAUUUUUAGUGUUAAGCAUUCCUGAAUUAUACAAUCUAAAUUUCAAAAAAAUCACCAUCUUUGAUGUCUUCAAGUGCCAUACUCAUUCCGCCAUCUUUGAUGUCUUCAUGAAGAUCAAAUUUUUGUUUUAACCCUCACUUUUUGAUAAAAUAUUAAAUGUACUAAACAUAAAUAACCUCCAAAAAAAACAUUUGAAACGAUUCAUGGUUACGUAAGUUACUAAUAUAAGGAUAUUUUGGUAAACAAAAAUUAUCAAAUGCACCAACACAUAUAUUAUAAACAGAAGAUUAUCAGGUCACGUUCUGUCCACAGUAAAGAUGAGUUUCUUGCAAUCACAUAAAAUAGAGCAUACUAGAUCAAUUGAAAGAAAUCAUCUAGAUUCUAGAGAAUCACAUCUCAAGUUCAUGAUAUCAUUGUCUUUUUUCCUAUGUCUACCAUUAUUCCCCCAUUCACAAUGAUUCUUUUACGUCCUGUUCGAUGUUCGUUUGAUUUUUUUGAGGAUUAUUCCUCCUCCUCAAAAAGAUCAGCGCAUCUGUCUCUCUGUCUUGUCUCCUCUUUCACUUUAUGAUCUAAAUCAUUCCUUCUGACACUUUCGAAAAAGAGUUGUGUCUGAAUCAUUCAGAUUGCUGAAGACCAUUUUGUGCUUCUUAGAGCAUUUCUUUCUAUCCCUUUUUUGUUCUCUUUCAUCAUAUCAUUUAUGGCGAUUGGCAAAGAAAAUUAGCAAGGAAAAUUUCAAGGGCAAUGACAAAGAUGGUGGUUUACGAAGAAGUGAGAUACACUGAAAAUGACAAAAUCUGAGGCAAAUUUGGAUAUGUUUCUUAAUAGAGUAUUACCAAUAAAGUAGCUUUUCUGGAGAACACCCGUCGACAGUUGAAGGCCUUCUUAACAAAAGACUCAUCGAAGGACAUUGGAGAUGAAGCCGAACAGAGCAAUGAUAUGAAUGAUACUGAAAGUUUGAUGAUUGAAGAAAGAAUGAUAUAUGAUCAUUGAAGUCCUAGACAUUUGGCUUCGAGAAAAUGAUGAUGAAAUCAGGAUUUGAGUAUGAUUAGAGUCGUAGAGAUUACAAUUAUGAUUUUAUUUUUAAAUUUUAUUUAUUUAUACUAUAUUUAUCAGAAUAUAUAAUAUUAUAACCAAAAUUCAUUUUAUAUGUCAAUUCAAAGUUAGAAACAUCAAUUGAAAGAAUGCCAAUACUCUAAAUCUUUGUGUUUUAUGUUUUCCAAUUCUUUUUCUUGAUUUUAUAAAUUCUAUUUGAGAUUUUUGUAUAUUGCUUGUUUUCUUAAAAAAAUUGGAUUUUAUAAACAUUGUAUAAAAAAUCUUAUAUAUUGGAUUCUAUUGGAUUUUGUAAAUUACUUGAACAGAGCAGUGAGCAGAUGAUUGAUUUAUUAUUAUUUGAUUCUAUCUAAUUUAUUUUAAUCAAUGUAUUGAAAACGAAAUCAAAAAAAAUCAAAAAAAUAAUUUUCUCAAAAGCUUGAAAAGUCAAAACCCUCUCAAUAAAAUAAUCUUUUCUUCUUCAUUCAGACUUCAGAGAUUCCAAAACCCCUUCUCCUUCCUUUCAUUGAAAACACUCGGACUGCCAACUCUCCCACCACAGACGCCCUUUCUCUUUUGCGGUUUAUCUUGUUUGGAAGGUAAUGUUGUAAAUAUUUAGAUUUUCUUAUAUAGAUUUAAGGGUUUCUUUCGAAUCAUUUUGGGUAUAUAGGGAUGUUUUUCGUGAUGUAUGUAUGUAUGUAUGUAUUCCUUGAUUUUUGGCCUUUGUAGAUUGUUUUUUUAGUUUAAUCCUUGAUGUUGGUUGUUUGUUGCUUUGGGUUUUAUUUAAAAGAAAAAUUAAAGAUCAUGUGUUUAUUUCUAAUAAAGUUUUCCAAGAUCAUUUCUUAUAUAGAAUUAAGGGUUUCUUUCGAAUCAUUUUGGGUAUAUAGGGAUGUUUUUCGUGAUGUAUGUAUGUAUUCCUUGAUUUUUGGCCUUUGUAGAUUGUUUUUUAGUUUAAUCCUUGAUGUUAAUUGGUUGUUUGUUGCUUUGGGUUUUAUUUAAAAAAAAAAUUAAAGAUCAUGUGUUUAUUUCUAAUAAAGUUUUCCAAGAUCAUUUCUUAUAUAUAUUUAAGGGUUUCUUUCGAACCAUUUUAGGUAUAUAGGGCUGUUUUUCGUGAUGUAUGCAUGUAUUCCUUGAUUUUUGGCCUUUGCAGAUUGUUUUUUUAGUUUAAUCCUUGAUGUUGGUUGUUUUGUUGCUUUGGGUUUUAUUUAAAAAAAAAAUAAUAAUGAUCAUGUGUUUAUUUCUAAUAAAGUUUUCCAAGAUCAUUUCUUAUAUAGAUUUAAGGGUUUCUUUUGAAUCAUUUUGGGUAUAUAGGGCUGUUUUUCGUGAUCUAUGUAUGUAUUCCUUGAUUUUUGGCCUUUGUAGAUUGUUUUUUAGUUUAAUCCUUGAUGUUGGUUGUUUGUUGCUUUGGGUUUUAUUUUUAAAGAUAAAUUAAAGAUCAUGUGUUUGUUUCCGAUAAAAUUGUCCAAGAUCAUUUCUGGUUGCUUAUUAUCAAUUUUUGCAAGGUUUAUGACUCUAAAUUAUACUUGUUCUAGUUCUUUUUGAUUACGUGUUGUUUAUAUUAUUUGAAAUCAGAAAACAGGAAGGAAAAAUGGGCAGUUCAUUAUCCAGAACAUCGAAGCCUGAGAAAGAGAUUGCAUCUCCCUGCAAAAGAAAAUGUCAGAAACUUGAAGGUGGAGAUAAAGGGAAAAAAGCCCGUCCAUCAAUAGGAACAUCGAAGCCUGAGAAAGAGAUUGCAUCUUUGGGAAAAAGAAACUGUCAGGAACUUGAAGGUGUAAAAAAAGGAAAAAUCGGUCAUUCAUCGCCAAGAACAUCAAAGUCUCAGAAAAAGAUUGCAUCAUUGGCAAUCGAGGGUGGAGAUAAAGAACCUAAAGAAGUUCUUGAUUGCAUCAUAGAUUUUGAUUUAUUAGACUGUAUGGUAUGCUACGAGCCACUCAUUGGUUCUAUUUUUCAGGUAACCAUCAUUUUAUGUAUAUGAUAUAUUUACCCCAAGAGUUCCUACUCUUUACUUUCUUUUCAAUUCCAUUUGCAGUGCAAAAACGGCUACAUUGUUUGUCAAACUUGUUGCAGAAAGAUCAAUAGCCGAUGCCCUACUUGUAAGUGCACGAUUGGUGUCAGAAACCUUGUUCUUGAACAUAUUAUCGAUAGUAUUCAAGUCCGUUGUCGAUAUGCUAUGAAUGGUUGUGCUGAAGUGUUGUCAUUCUGCGAUAGACAAUCUCAUGCAAAGAAUUGCCAUCAUGCUCCAUUGUCUUGUCCAUUUGAAAGUUGUUCAUUCGAUGGAUGUAAUGCUGAAUUAUUCAACCAUAUAAAAGAUGCCCACUUGUAUACUGAAGCAUGCACGGGAGAAUACGUGAAUUUAGCAAUCAAGGUUGGGAAGCAGAAUUGUCUUCUGGGAGACGAUUGUUCAAUUUAUCUCAUAGUCGUGAAGAAACAAUCCUCUGCAUUUUGUAUUUCGGUACUUUGCAUCAGUUCUCUUACCAAGUCGAAUGUCGUCUAUAAAAUCAAGUUGUAUGGGAAUGGUAACUCCAAGCUAAGUUUUUUUGGUAAUGUUCCUACCAUAAAGGAAAUAGUAGAUGCUCAUGCAUUGUCUUCUCUAGAUAACAAUGUGUUGGUUCCCUAUACUAUGUAUGAUGUUGAUACUCAUCAUAUUGAUUUGCAGAUAUGUUUUAUAUGAAAUGAACUAAAUUAUGUUUUAUAUGAAAUGAACUAAAUUAUGUUUUAUAUGAAAUGAACAUCAGAACUCACAAGAUCAAACAAUUAUGUUUGAGCUUCUCUUUAAAAUCUAUCAUCUUUUUUUUGUCAAUUCUUUUAAUUACCAUUAAGAAUAGAGAUAGAAGAGAUUGAGGAGAUCAGGAGAAUAAAAAUAGAAUUAUAUUUAGAUAAGUAAAAAUGGUGAAACUUAACCAUUGUCAUGACUAAUUAAUUAAUGUCUUUUGAAGAUUGUUGUUCUUAUCUUACCCAAAUUCCUCAAAGGUUAUUUUCAAGUCGAGGAGCGAGAAAUUGUAAGUUAUGAAUUUUUUUUUUAUAAAGUAUCUUUAGUUUGAUUUUUGUUAUAUAAAGUUUUGACGCAAAAAAAAUUAAAUCCUCAUCUUAAUUCCAAUUGCAGGAGACGUAUCCCUAUGCGCCGGUUCAACUUCUAGAGGUAAUGGAUUUUGUCAUUUUACAUGGAUAAAAUAUGAUGGGAAGUCACCCCGAUCUGUGUAGUUUCAAGAGAAGUCGUGGUGGAUUUAUGGAUCUUACCCAGUUCAAGUUCUGACUCGGCCCCAACUUGAACAGCAUUGGCCUCUUCCGAAAUCUAUUGUCAAUCCUUGUAAAAAAAAUUGAAUUUUUUUAUUUAAAUGAAUUUGGCAAAUAUUCGAAUUUGCCUGUAAUGUUGAUUGAUUUACUAUUGAUUUGUUACAACAAAAAAAAAAAAAAUUUGACAACUCAUCCAGAAAAGGCUAUUAAACCCAAUAAAGAUUUUAUUUACAAUUGAGCCUUUAAUAUUCACAUGAAUACCAACACUUCCUCUAAUCGAUGCAAGAAUUUAUUUCUCCCUUUCUAAACUCUCUUCUUAUGCCAACUUUUUGGACUCAUCGAAUACAUUUUUCUUUCUUUUUAAAACUCUUCUUUUCUUCAUCGACAGCAUUCUUCACUAAUCAGCACUGCUCUUCAUCAUUCUUCAUUUUCUACUACAAGCUGCAAUCAAAUGGUGAGUAAGCUUUCAGGGUUUGGGGUUAAAUGGGGUUUUAGAGAAAGGGUUAAAUAAAAGUAGGGUUUUAGAUUAAAAUAAUUUGAUUAAUUUUUUUAUUAUCGCUCCACUACAUUCAGAUUACUGUUUGUCAAGCCUGUGGGGCUCUGGAAAAUCCUCAACUCUUGAUUUUCUGUUCAACUUGUAACAAUAAUGCUGAACACCUGUAUGUAUGGAUAUAUAUUCUUUCUAUCUUGCAGAUGUGGUGGUGUUUCAAAUUCUUUUUCAUUUCUUCUUUUCUGCAGGUAUUGCUUGACAGAAUAUGAGGAAUGUCUUGGGGAUUUUAUUUGGUCUUGUGAGGAAUGUACACAGCAUAUAAUCCCCACAACCAGUCUAUGCCAAGAGGAGGGUAAGUGAGAACCAAAUGUUUGUAGUUUUCUUACAUUAAUUCCAAUGAAAUUUUAAAAAAUAUUUAUAAAUCAAAACACUUUUGUCUUCUAUUCUAUCCAAAUUUCCAAUGUUUGGGAUUUUGCAUUUUUUACUCACCAUAAAUUAUUUAAAUACACUCCGUUUCUGUAACGGUGUCUACGUGCCGGCAUCUUCGUUCGUUAUGCAUCGCAUGGUUCGAUUUUGGGACGGCACGACGGGUCAUGUCUCGGCACAAAUUCAUUUGCCUACGCCGGUGUCUACAGGUAGAGGUAUGGGUUGCAAUGUACGUCGUCCGGUGGAUAAUUUCACCGUCGUUCAUUGUCCGGACUGUGAACGACACAGCGGGUCCAAUCGGACACCCCAGGUCCCCUCGACGGAGUCCUUAUUUGAACUGGUUCGUAUUUUGGGUAAUUUACUAAAUACCCCUUAUGUUAAUUCUAUAACUUUUGUGUACCAAAACUUAUUUAAUAAUUGAAUAUUUAGGAACUGGUCCUCUUAUAAAAACAACCGUAGUUAUAUAAUAUAUUUUGAUAACCUUUUACUGUUUUUAUUAUAUUUAGGUCCAAAUAACGUUUUACUGAAACAUUUGUGAAUAAACCCUUGUUGAUUAAAGACAAAAUAGUUUAUUCUGUUUUGUCAUAACCUUUAGAUUUCGUUUAUUACACCUAUGUCCUAAAGUUAUAUUAUGUGGUAAAUUACUAUUUUUACCCUAGAUUUCAAUAUAAUCUUAUACUCCCCCCUCAAGUCUUGGAAUACAUGUUAUGAAUUCCUAACUUGACAGAGAAUGUUGAAAUUUUAUGCUCUCUUAGGGAUUUAGUAAAAAUAUCUGUAAGUUGGUAUUUUGUGCCAACUUGCUUCAAGAUAAUUAUCCCUUUAUCUAUCAUUUCUCUUAUGGAGUGACAUGUGAUUUAUAUAUGCUUGCUCCUCUCAUGAAACAUUGGGUUAUUGGCAAGAUAUAUUACUGAUUUGUUGUCACAGUAUAAUGAGGUUGGAUUUGUUAUGUUCAACUUUAAAUCUUUAAAAAGUUGAUGUAGCCAUAAUACUUCACAUUGAGCUUUACUGAUGGCUCUAUACUCUGCUUCACAGGAUGAGAGUGAAACAGUAUCUUAUUUUUUGGAUUUUCAAGAAAUUAAUGAUGUUCCUAAGAACAUACAAUAGCCUGAUAGUGACUCUCUACUAAUUGAACAUGAAGCUCAGUCUGAGUCAUAAUACCCAUGAAAGGCCAUUUGGUUUUGGCUUUUGUAUAAGAUGCCCUGUCCAGCGGCAUUUUUCAGGUAUUUUAUCACCUUAAAUAGUACUUGAAGAUGAAUUUUAUUUGGGUUUCCUAUGAAUUGGCUCAGCCAAUGGACAGGGAAGAUCAAGUCAGGUCUAGUGAUAUUUAAAUAUAUCAGUUUACCCACUAGUGACCUAUAAAAGGUUGGGUCUGUUAAAACCUUGGCAUUUUCAUUUCUUAGAUUUACAUGCCUUUUCAUGGGUAUUUUUGAUGGUUUUGCAUCUAUCAAACCACUCUCUUCUAGAAUGCCUAAUGUAUACUUUCUUUGAGAUAUAUAUAUAUCCCUUCUGGUGGAUAUGAGAUUUCUAUUCCUAAGAAAUAAGAUAGUCUUUCUAAAUCCUUAAUUUUGAAAUUUUUUUCAAUAUUGUUUUUAAUUAAGAAAACUUCUGUUUCAUUGUUGCCUGUGAUGAUAAUAUCAUCAACAUAUACCAAUAUGUAUAUUGGAUUUCCAUUGUUGUUUUUAACAAACAUGGAGUAAUCAGAGGGGGUUUGGGAAAAAUUCAUUUUAAGUAGAACUCCUCUUAAUUUAGCAAACCAAUUCCUAGAUGUUUGUUUUAAACCAUAUAAGGAUUUGUUUAGUUUGCAUACCUUUUUAUCUCCUUCAUUGAAGAGUCCUUGUGGUGGUUUAAGAUAUACCUCUUCAUGGAGAUCUCCAUGAAUAGAUGUUUCAUGAAUAGAUCUUGAUGAAGAAAUGCAUUAUUGACAUCUAAUUGAUAGAUGUUCUAUUUUUUUAUUGUUGAAAUUGCAAUUAUAGUUUUAAUUGUAGUCAUUUUGACUACAGGGGCAAAAGUUUCAUAGUAAUCAUACACUUCUUUUUGGGUGAACCCUUUUGCCACAAUCUAAUCUUGUAUCUCUCUAUUUCACCAUUAGAUUUAUAUUUGAUUUUAUAAAUCCACUUGGAGCCUACAAGUUUCCCUUUUUGAGAAAGCAUUGUUAAGGUCCAAGUUUUAUUUAAAAGAAGUGCCUCCAUUUCUUUCUUUAUUGCUUCCACCCAUUUUGGGUUUUUGGAAGCUUCUGAAAAUGAUUUUGGCUCAUCAUUUAUUGAUGUAGCAAAUUUUUAUGAUUUUAUGGUAUGACACUUGAUUGCAUAUUGGGUAUUUUCCUUUUUUAUUAUUAUUCCUAUAUUCAUUGUCAUUUUCAAGAAAAAAAUCUUUAUAAGCUUCUGGGAUGUGUAUUACUCUCCCUGCUCUUGUUUUUUUUAAUUAUUUCCAGUAAUUUUUCUGAAAUUUCACAUGGGACAUCUUGUUGCUGUUUAUUUUGUUUUCCUGCAAUAUCAGGAGUGAUGAUUUGUUGUUCUUGUUGUUCUACUGAAUUUUCUAUGCUUGAUAAAUUUAUUUCGUCAUUAUUCUGAAUAUUUUCAGAAUCAUAGGUAUUUUGAACAUUUUUAAAAUUCACAUAUCAUUUGAUUGGUUAUGACUAAUAUCAUUAGCAUUAUUACUUAUGUUUUCACUCAUUCUGAUAUUUUCAAUGUGAUUAUUCAUGUGAUUUCCUGAUUUAUGUGAUUCAGAUUGUAUCUGAAUUCUUUGAUUAUUUCCUGAUCUUAUGUCUGAAUUUCUACUUGGACUGCAGGGUAUAUUUUUUGAUCUUAUAAUUCUAUUGAGAUCAGAGUUUUCAAUGUUGUUUUCUGAUUCAGAUUGUAUCUGAAUUAUUUGGUCACUUCCUGAACUUAUAUCUGAAUUGUUUUUCAGAUUGCAGGGUACAUCUUCUGAUCUUAUAAUUUUAUUAAGAUCGGAAGUUUUAGCUUUAUUGUUUUCUUGAUAAUAACUAUUAUAGUCUUACCAAGCUUUAUUUGAAUCAUCAUGAUAUAUGAAAACAUUGUUAUAGAAUUUUUGAAGAUAAUUUGAUUUUUUAGCAUUUUCUAAAGUAAUAUCAUCUUUAAAUGGGAAUAUGGAUUCCCUAAAAUAAACAUUCCUGGAAAUGAUUUUUUUUUUAUCUGAAACCUUCAGAAUGAGAUAUCCUUUAACUCCUUUGGGAUAUCCCAUAAAGAUUCUUUGAAAAGUUUUUGGUGAAAAUUUAUUUUCCAUUUGUGUUGUUGAAGCAUAGCAUAAACAACCAAAGGAUUUUAAAUUUUUAAAAUCAGAAUUUUUUUUAUGAAUUAUUUCAUAAGGUGUUUUGUUUUCAAUGAUUUUGAAAUGGAUCCUAUUUAUUAGGUGGGCUGAGUUAAAAUGCACUCUCCCCAAUAUUUCAGUUGAAUGUUUCCUUGGAAAUGCAAUGCUCUUGCUAUAUUCAAGAAAUGUCUAUGUUUUUUCUCUACUCUUGCAUUUUGUGCAGGGGUAUAUGGACAAGAGAAUUGUUGAAUUAUUCCAUGUUUUUCGGUCAUUUUCUUGAAAUUAUUGAAGGUGAAUUCCCCUCCAUUAUCACUUCUGAUAAUUUUAAUUUUGGUGUUAAAUUGAGUUUUAACCAUUUUAUAAAAAAUUUCAAUGCAUUCUAUUGCUAUUGACUUAUUUUUCAUUAAAUAGAUCCAUGUUCCCCUACUUAGAUCUUCUACAAUGGUUAAAAAAUAAUUAAAACCAUCAUGGGAUGAAAUUGGGAAUUUUCCUUAUAUAUCCACAUGGAUUAGAUCAAAUAUUUUUUCAGAUUUUGAGGAGUUAAUUGUAAACUUGAGUUUUGCUUGUUUUGCUAAUGGACAAAUUCUACAAUUGUGUUGGAUUGAAUUUAUUUCAUUUAAAAUAUAUUUUUGUUGAGUACAAUCAAAAUUUGCAUUCAAAAUUGAAUUUUUAUUCAGAACAGAAUUUUUAUUGUUAUUACAAGCAUUAUCCUUACAAGAUGAAUUAUUACAAUUAUGAUUGACAUUUCUAAAUUUGAGUUUAUAGUUUGAGACUAAAGUCUUCAUCUUCUUUGAAGAAAUGUGCUCCAAUCUGUGAUGCAAUGUUUUGAAAUCUAUGCAGGCUGAAUUUGCUAGAAAAAGGUGGGGGUGAAGAAAUAUAAUCCAUUACUUGAAUUACCCUUGCCAAUCAUUUUUUCGGAUUUGUUUUCCUGAAAUUGAAAAUAAUGAUCAUCAAAAAUUACUUUAAUGUCAUUUUCUAAGGUUAAUUUGCUUAUAACUAUUAAAUUAACCUUAAAUUCAAAAAUAUACAAUACAUUUUUCAGAAUUAAAUUUUCUGAAAUUUUGAUACAUCGCACCCCUUGAACCAUGAUUAUUUUCCCACUAGGUAUAAUGACAUAGUGGUUGGGUUCUUUAAUUGGGAUUUUGGUAAAUAGAUGUAGAUUACCUGUCAUGUAUUGUGAGGCACCAGUAUCUACUAUCUAUUUAUCAAUGUGGGAACUUAUAUUGAAAGAAAAAGAAAAUAAAUUAUCAUUACCCGAGUUGCUGUUUGAUUUUGUUAAGGAGAUGAGCUCCUUGAACAGAUGAAUUUUUUCCUGAGUUAAACAGAGUUGCUGACUGUUGGUGGCAGUUAUUUGAUUUGCAGUCUCUGAGUUUGGUGUGUUUGUGCCCUGAAUUUUCUUUCCUUGGAAUUUCUUUUGAAACUUAUCUUUGGGCCUGACAACUAGAUGGUAGCACUUAUCCCUUGUAUGACCAUAAUAUUUGCAAUUGUCACAGUAGAACCUACUGUUUAAUUUUUUGUCAUUUUUGGAAUAUAAAAUUUUUGUUCUAUCUGUUGGGUUUUUUCUUUAGCAUAAAAUGUUGACUCAAUCUUUUCAUUAUUAUGGUCUCUGAAUUUUAUCCUUUGCUUUUCCUCUUGUAUUACUAACCCAAGUACCUUAUUCAUAUUGGGUAAAUUCUCCAGAGAUAAGAUUUGGGUUCUAAGGUUGAAAAAAUUCUCAUUUAGAUCUAGGAGGAAUUGACGAAUCAUAUCAUUUUCUUCUUUUUAUUGAUAGAGUUUUUUGCGUUAUCUGCAAAAAAUUUAUUUUAUUUCAUCUAUUUGAACUAAUUGAUCCCAAAUUGACCUGGCAGACAUGGAUCCUUGUUGUAGGCAGCAUAACUCAUAUUUGAUUUGAUUUACUUUGGGAGCAUUUCCUUGCUUAUACCUACACUCUAAAUCUAACCAAACUUGAUAUGCAUCAUUUGUACACAUAAGAGUUGAUUGGAUUUGUGGGGAAACUGAAUUUAAAAUCCAUGCAAGCACUAACCCAUUUACAAUUUUCCAAAUGUUGUAUUCUCUACUACCAAAAUCAGUGGGCAUCACUAUUUGUCCAGAGAUGAAUGCAUCUUUUCUUCUUGAUACCAAUGAGACUUUUAUCCCAUUGGACCAAGUUAUGUAGUUAGAUUCAUCAACUAGCCUAUCAAGAACUAAUAUAGCCCCCGAGUGAUCACCGAAGGUCAGAAAAAGAGGAGAUUCAGGGUCUUGUAAAGGAGAAAUAUACCUUUCAGCCCUUUGUCUCUUGAAAACAGAAUUUUUGAACAAACCUUCCCCAUUGUUGUUUGCACGCGAUUUUCCAGUUGACUCAGAUAAAGAUUCACGUGAAACUGAUGGUGUCUCGAUCGGAUUCAGUGGUUGUGCAACAGAGACGAACGGAUUGUUGGCCGGAAAAAUUGCGAAAGUGGUCGGUCGAUUGGCCGGCGAAUUGAAAGGAGUUUCGGCUGAUACCAUAUUAAUUUCUGCUGCGGAGAAUCCAUUGGAGGGAAUGUACACGAACGCCUAAGAUUGGGAGCGACGCCGGUGUGCGCAAUAGCCGGAGUCGUAAUUAUGGUUUUCCGUCUACUUGUUGAGAGGCGUUUAACAGUAAGAACUGUCACUAAGGCGAGUGAGUGGAGGAUUUGGUUAAGAAAGUAGUUUAGUUAAUCUUCGAUGAUUAACAGUUGUAUUUAAUUGAUUUAUUAAAGAUAAUUACACUGUUAUUUAUACAUACUUUAAACAUCAAAUCUUUACAUUUAUUUAAAAUUGAUUUAACUAAAUAAUCGUAUUUGGGCUGGACUCAUUUGAUCUUGGUCCAUAGGUCCAGCUCUUCAACGGUUAUUUCUGUUAAGAGAAUUCCUGCAAGAGUACACACUAGAUUAGAAAUAACAACCAGGUCCUUGUUUGACCUGGUUCGUAUUUUGGGUAAUUUACUAAAUACCCUUUAUGUUAAUUCUAUAACUUUUGUAUACCAAAACUUAUUUAAUAAUUGAAUAUUUAUGAACUGGUCCUCUUAUAAAAACAACUGUAGUUAUAUAAUAUAUUUUGAUAACCUUUUACUGUUUUUAUUACAUUUAGGUCCAAAUAACGUUUUACUGAAACAUUUGCGAAUAAACCCUUGUUGGUAAAAAACAAAACAAUUUAUUCUGUUUUGUCAUAACCUUUAGAUUUCGUUUAUUACACUUAUGUUCUAAAGUUAUAUUCUGUGGUAAAUAACUAUUUUUACCCUAGAUUUCAAUAUAAUCUUAUACAUCAAUCCAUCUCCAGGUAGGAUUACUUUAAAUUAUUUCUUUAAUGGCAUUACUGGUUUCAUUGUUGGAUUACCAUCAUGUUGAUUUUCUCCUUUCCGGCGUGGUCGAAAUCGCCAUUUCGUUACUUUCCAUGUUUUGUACCAAUUUCUCCUCUAUGAUUGAUUUUUCAAGUUAAAUGAUACUCGACAACUCCGAGUAUUUCCGAAUGUUUUUCUCCUGAUUUUUGAUAAACAUUUUUGCAUCUGGUACUUGAAAUUAAGAACUUUUUUUUGAAUUAAAACUAUCUAUAUAUUAAUAUAUAAAUUUUAAAGAAAAAAAGGAGGUGUGAUCACAUGCGAUCCACCUCACGUCUUCCGCAUUGAUCAAGCCAUGUGAUUUUACGAUCGUUUCGACCUUCAACAACCUUUGAAAACUGACUCGAUAUUUUCUAAAACGAUCUGUCUUAUCGUUCUUACGUAAUUGACCUUAGACAAUGGGGAGUGUAAAAACUCUGGUGUGCUCCAGGCAUCUUUUCCUUUUCUAAGGAAAAACUCUGUCAUUGUCUUUCGGUCAACUACUCGUGAGUGAUUAUUCAUGUCGUUUUUACUGUAAAAGAAAUACUACCUUUUAAAAGGUAAGACUCUCUAUGGAUAUGAUUUUUUGGAUCAUUUCACUAACACACUUUACCUUAUAUGCUUUUUGGUGAGUCAGAAUUCUAUUUGUUGAAUUAUAACCCAUCAUUGGCUUAGAUGUUGUAGUUCUCUAAUACAAGUUUCUACCGAAUUUAAAUUAAAAAUAUGUCGUAUUAAUAGUAGAUAGUUUAACUUGGGUCUUGUUGGGGGCUUUUAGCCUAUAUUUUCUCUAAUCGUUGCUCUUGGGUCGUUCCUUUAGCCUUAUACAUGUUCGUCGUGAAGGUGCUUGUUAUAUCAUGUAUUAUCCUUCUCCCUAUCUCUUGCGGCCAUGUUCGUCUGUCUUCGUGUACUCUCUUGUUUCUUUCGGUCCAUAUCCCUCAUACUGUCGUUGCCGUGUAUGCUCAUGUUAGACCCCAACAUGACGUGUUUUUUGUUCUGAUGUGGGCCUCUGUCAUUACCUAGUUUAAAAAGAGUCAUGCGCAUGUAAUCAAACCUGGUUUUGUAUUUAGUAUAUAGGACCAUACGUCUAUAAAAAAUUUACACUUGAAGAACACAUGGUCUUGAAAUUAAGAACUUACUAUAUUACAUAAGAGCAUCAAUUUUUUGCGUCUGGUACUCCAUCCUUACUAUAACCAAAGCUUCUAGCACAUAUAAAGAAUUACAGGUGACUAGGUACUAAUAAUGAAGAAUUAUUGGUGAUUAUGAACAACCUCAUAUGCAAAACACAUAUUUAAACUACAUUGCUAAAUCUUCCAUUUGAAUACGAGAAUAUUCUCUCGAUGCAGUUCAUGGCCAUGAGUCUUAACCACUCUUGAGCACCUGAAUUGUUCAGGAGUCAUGAAACACUACAUGAAAAGCAUGACCACAAGCAUGACCACAUCUACUGGUGAGAUAAAUCAUGACAAACAGAUGUAAGAACCACCACCCGAAUCAGGACAGUACGAACAAUACUAUCCUAAUGUGACAAAUUAGAUAGAUCAAGCUUUACAUUUAUAGAGAAAAUUGCUAACAUAAAAUUUCAACGUUUCUAAUUUACCAACUAUUUCUCUAAUGCAGGGAAACUGAUGGUCAACAUUAACUCCCCGGUAAAUACAAUCAUCGAAAAUUCUCUUCUGCAUACAUUUACAAUUUACAGUGUGGAGUUUCAAAUAAAAUGUAAAAUACCAAAGACGCCAAACUUUGGCAUAACUAGUACGCAUCAUUAAAUUGUCAUACUCAUCAGGAAUCUGUAAUAAUGUCCAAUUUUAGGAAAAUUAUCGACUACAAACUACGAAAUUCUGGAAUUAAGAUAUACUAGGAUGCUGUCCUUGGCAUCACAAGACUUUGUGAAAAACAAAAAAAAACUACACAUUUUAUGUUGUAUAUAUACUUACGGGUAUAGGGGAUUCUAUAUACUACAUAAUCUCAUUUUGUAUUUCAUCUUCAACAGGGAGGCGAUGACAUUAAUGGACAUCCAUGUCUAGGUACCUCAGAAGCGAACACGUUAAAACUACUUUACUUGAAUUAUUCAGUUUACAUACAAUUAGGUUUACUAUUAGUUUUCUAAAUCUAUAGUUCGAAUACAGGAUAUGUCUUCGAUCAGGACGAUAGAGACACCAUGAUUACUCCAGACAGGUAAUCUAACAAUUAUAUCAUCUUCUUAUUUAGACUCUUAAAAUUUACGAACGUAAUAAUCAUUUAGGCCCGAAAUUUCAUAUUGUAACAGUGAAGAUAAACGUGCAUCCAUCGACAAUGAAAGUGAAGAUAAAGAUACCCCAAGGUCAGACAUUUAUAGGCUUAAUGAUUCAAUGAACGAAAAAUACAUUUUGUACUCUCUCUGUCAUUUCUAAAAACAAAAUUGGCAGGCCUGUCGAAGAACCAUACAUAGGAAUGACAUUUGAUUCAAUUAUUGAGGCAGAGAACCUAUACUACUCUUACGCAGGGCAAAGAGGUUUUUCAGUCCGGAAAUCGUCCACUAGAUAUUCAAAGCAGGGUCUUCGUAAGAAAACAUAUGUUUGCUCAAAGGAAGGAACCUCAAGAGCUAAGAUACCAGUUGUGGACCAUCUACUUGAAAAACAAACAAGGCUCAGGCAUAUCCGAAAUCCAAGGACAGGUUGCAAAGCUCUUCUAUCUCUAAAGAUAUCAGGAGACAAAUGGAUGAUAUCGAUCUAUAAUGACGUGCACAAUCAUGAUAUGUCUACGCCAUCGAAAAAACGGUUCUUGAGGAAUGUCGACAAUACAACUGGUUCGUCAUUAAGCAAACAAACAACACAUCGUAUGAAUGUCGACAAUACAUCGUAUGAUAAAGGAAAAACGUUUGUAACCGAAAAUAAUGUAAGUAUUUAAUCAAUCUAUAUAUUUUAUAUAUUUUCAUUUUAUUUUAUUUAUAAAUAAAAUAACGAUAUUUUUAUUAUAUUUAAAUUUUCAUUUAUAGGUUAAUGAUAUAGUGGAGAAUGCGAUGGCUCAUCAAAUGAAAUUUUUCCAACAAUAUACUAGCGCUUUUCAAGCUCAAAAUCCGAAUAUGCACAUACCGGAUUUUCCAUCAUCUAGAGCGUCGACGUCACGAGUACCAGUGCAGCAGACUCUUCCUCAACCAACGAUUGAAUCAGAGGAGCAGACUCUUACACAACCUCGUGGACGAUCAAUCAUUUUCUCAAAAAACGAAAUAUCAAAGCUCGUAUUUAAAAAGACUUCUUCAAAAAUGAAACAAAACGACAAUCAACAAAAUAGAGAUUAGAAUAGCAAGCGACUUUUUCAAAAAAAAAAUUAUUUUGUCGCAAAUUAUUUUAAAUAUUAUCAAUUUCAUUUUUAUUUUCAUUUAAUAUAAUUUCUAAUAAAUAAUAUAUAUUUCAUAAUUAAUUAAUUAAUUAUUUAAAUAAAUAACUAAUAGAUCCUGGUGGCCUGGCCGCCAACAAUUGAAGCAAUUUCGAUCAAUAAUCGGAUUCCAAAAUAUAUUGUCGGUGGCCUGACCGCCAGGACAUUACAAAGUUAGCGACAUUACCUCUGACGAUGACCUACCGGCGGCCUGACCGUCAGCAUUUGCCGCCAGAACUACGCUGUUUUUUUGUAGUGAAAAUUAAUAAAAGAAUAACCCCUUACACCAGGAAUUUAAUACACAACUUAAAUGCGACAAACAUUCUUUCGAGUCAGCAAUAUUCCUACGUAGCAAUAGAGUCGAUCAGGUUGAUACAAAUAUAAUGACAACCAUAUUUAAUAAAACAUAAGUGGUGAAUCAUCAAUAGAACAAAAUCGCUCUGUCAAGUAAUUAACAACAUAUCAUAGUACCAUACACAGAUUUCUAAUAGUGAAUUACAAUCAUGCAUUAUAUUGUUGAAUAUGUGGUAAAUUUCUUCUUCGAUGUAUACUUGGCCAUUUUAAUUUGCCACGGUAUGAAUUCCAUCCUCUCAGUGAGUCUUCGGAAUAAGCAUUAAUUCCGUAUUUUAGGACUUUAGUUUUCUUCCACGACAUCAUGGAAAUAUUCUAUCAGGCAACUAACUCCAUGCAACAUAUAUAGGCCACCAUCCAACUUGGGAUUGAUUUCCUGUGGGAAUGAACGGCAUUCAUUAAAUUCAGGUUCGUUAUGAAGAUCAGAAAAGAGGAACUGUCGGAACCAGUUGGUCAUCCAAAUCACCUGAAAAUAAACUUAAUUGCUUAUGUACUCGUCUACACAUAUACAAAAAACAAUUAAGAUGCCUUACAGUACGCUUAGCUGCACUCUCUCCAAUAUCUUCUAGGUUCAAAAAAUAAGAGGUGGUUUUAUUGUUCUUCCACUAGAUAUUAAUGUUGCUCAAACAAGAAAGAUAGUCAUACAAUAUAUGUAUGUAUAAAUCAUUGGAUGUUUUUCAAUUUUGAAUCAACAUUCUUUCAAGUUCUUAUAAAUGAAUUUAUAGAAUUUAUAAAUGAAUUUAUAGAACAAAUAAAAUAACAAAGUGUAAUGUAAUAUUAUAUAUUGUGUUAAAUAUAUGUAUGUAUGGUUAUCAUCUAUAUUCCUAUCGAAAUCACACCAUCAAAUUUGCAUCUAAGCUAGCUACCUCAUCUUUAUUUCCAGUUUGAAUGCUUUCCAAAUGUAUCUCAAAUUUUAUCAUGCAUGUAUUACCAUCGUCUUCCCAUUGCCAUUUUCUUUACUAUUUUUUUCUUUUCUUCUAUCACCAUGACUCUCUAUGAAGACGACGGAGUUUGUUUGUUGGAAGAGUGGGAUGAUUCUAAUUGGCAAAAUCCAACUGACAUCGAUCUAUAACUUGGAAGAUCUUUUUGAAGCUCUUUGAUGCAGAUAAUAUCGACGAUGUCAGAAUGGGAGGCGGGUUGAAUAAUAUAUAAAAUAAAAUAUAAGAGAUUUUAUUCAAAGGAUUUUGUACAAAUGGUGGGAGAAUGACGAGCAUAAUAAAUUAGGAAAGUUUGAUAUGAACUUAAGAUAUGAUUCUCUAGAUCCUAGACGAUUUCUUUGGAUUGUUGAUCUAACACGCUCUAGUGUAUGUGUUUGAAAGAAACUCAUUUUUACUGUGGUCUGUGAAUAGAACAUGACUCGAUCAUCCUCUAUUUAUAAUAUAUGAGUCGAUACAAAACUAUAUAUCCUUACAUUAGUAACAGACAUAACCACCAACCGUUUCAAAUGUUUUUUAGAGGUUAUUUAUAUUUGGUACAUUUAAUAUUUUAUUAAAAUUUUAAGGUUAAAACCAAAAUAUUUUCAUCAAAUAUCAUUUUCUCAAACUCAAAAAUGUUCUCAAUCAUUUUCCUAGUUUCUUAUAAUAUGAUAGGCUAUAGGGUAUUGGAAUAGAGGCACAAAGUUAUAGGGAUAUUGAGAAACACAUACAACAUCUGGAGCAUGAAGACAUUAAUGGAUUCAAGGUGACAUUAAAAUAUCAGUGGCUAAUUUUUUUGCCAUGAAAAUAAACAUGAAAAUUUCUAUUCUGUAGCAAAAUAUGGAGUGAAAAAAUGGAGGGAAUUUUUCUCGAAAAAUUUAGCCACCAAACUAGCCACAGAUUUAGAAUCCAUGGUUAAAUUAUCAAAAUAGCCAUGACCCUAGUCAUGAAUAUAAAAUCCGUGGUUAUUUUUGAACAAUUAGCCAC